This 467-nucleotide ribosomal RNA is filed under the name uncultured bacterium. RNAcentral describes it as "partial 16S ribosomal RNA". It matches the Rfam family "Bacterial small subunit ribosomal RNA", at positions 29 to 507 of the family's 1533-position model. The record is from RNAcentral.
ACGAACGCUGGCGGCGUGCUUAACACAUGCAAGUCGAACGGAAAGGCCCUGCUUUUGUGGGGUGCUCGAGUGGCGAACGGGUGAGUAACACGUGAGUAACCUGCCCUUGACUUUGGGAUAACUUCAGGAAACUGGGGCUAAUACCGGAUAGGAGCUCCUGCUGCAUGGUGGGGGUUGGAAAGUUUCGGCGGUUGGGGAUGGACUCGCGGCUUAUCAGCUUGUUGGUGGGGUAGUGGCUUACCAAGGCUUUGACGGGUAGCCGGCCUGAGAGGGUGACCGGCCACAUUGGGACUGAGAUACGGCCCAGACUCCUACGGGAGGCAGCAGUGGGGAAUAUUGCACAAUGGGCGGAAGCCUGAUGCAGCAACGCCGCGUGCGGGAUGACGGCCUUCGGGUUGUAAACCGCUUUCGCCUGUGACGAAGCGUGAGGGACGGUAAUGGGUAAAGAAGCACCGGCUAACUACGUG